RNAcentral lists this ribosomal RNA (837 nucleotides) under Triticum aestivum (bread wheat). Its description in RNAcentral is "partial small subunit ribosomal RNA". The record is from RNAcentral. Lineage: Eukaryota; Viridiplantae; Streptophyta; Magnoliopsida; Poales; Poaceae.
AUGGCAAGUCCACUCGCUUUUUGGCUCGACUGGUGGUACGGGGUUUCUCCACUGGCAGUUUCUUUUUCGGCCCUUUUUUCUUAUUGCCCGAAUCCGGAGAUCUCCAUCUCUGAGCUCUCCGAUAAUAAUUGGGACCUGGCUCUCCGACUAUCUUUGUCUCCUGAAGAGUUGAAUGACUGGCAGCAUCUCGUUGCUUGCAUUCCCGAGCUCUCGGAGGGGGAGGACUCGGUAGUUUGGCCACACUCCGCCUCCGGGCGUUUUUCUGUUAAGUCCUUAUAUGAUAAGCUCAUUUCUGGCACCCCUACUACUAAGUUCAAAUUGAUUUGGCGGGCCCGGAUCCCUCCCAAUGUUAAGAUUUUUCUGUGGCAAGCUUAUAGAGGGCGGGUACCUGCGGCUGGUCAAAUUAGUAAACGUAAUGGUCCUGGUUCAGAUCAUUGCUUGUUGUGUGGCAUGUUGGAAGACACGAAUCACAUCUUUUUUAAUUGCAUCUUGGCCAAGCUGGUCUGGUGCUGCAUCAGGUCCUGGCUUGGUGUGUCCUGGAACCCCUCCUCCUUCUCUGAACUUAGGAACCUUGCCACUAGCCUUAUUAGGGUUACCAAGCGCGUAUUUUGGGUUGGCUUUGCGGCUAUCUGUUGGGUCAUGUGGAAUACUAGAAACAAAUUCACCAUCGAGCAUAUUUUUCCUGCUAAACCUGUUGAUUGUUUAUUUAAGUCUUGUCUGUUCCUGCAGCAGUGGAGAUUAUUGACUAAGGAGGCCGACCGCGAUGCUUUCGAUUUGAUGUCUUCCAAUGUUCGGGCUUCAGCUAUCUCUCUAUCGCAGAUUCAGACAGGAGGCUAG